This 72-nucleotide transfer RNA is filed under the name Camelus bactrianus (Bactrian camel). It matches the Rfam family "tRNA". From Rfam's summary of the family: Transfer RNA (tRNA) molecules are approximately 80 nucleotides in length. Their secondary structure includes four short double-helical elements and three loops (D, anti-codon, and T loops). Lineage: Eukaryota; Metazoa; Chordata; Mammalia; Artiodactyla; Camelidae. The record is from Rfam by way of RNAcentral. RNAcentral also lists the same sequence under 1 other name.
GAGGGUAUUUCUCAGUGGUAGAGUGUGUGCUUAGCAUGCACGAGGUCCUGGGUUCAAUCCCCAGUAUCUCCA